CUAAUUUCCCAAUGAGUUCUAAAAUAGCAAAUACCAUCAUUUGAAAUGAAAGACUGGUUAUCGACUCCAUCCCUAUGAACCGACGCCUAGAACGGAAUCACAGCUUACUGCACACGAUUCCUUUCUGAGCAAAAAGAUCUGGUGCUGCUCCGAAGAAUCUACAUAAACAUACAAACAGAUGUGCCUAAGGGACAGCUCUAAACCCACAAACCAAUAGAUGGCAUUUUAAAUCAACGACUCGAAGCUGCAAACAACAUCCAUUUUGCUCUGUUUGGCAGUGUGCAAGUUUACAUCUAGCAAACAUUUCUCAACAUGAAUGAACUGUGCAAUUGUCUCCCGCUACCUCACACGCCUCUCAGUUGCAUUAGACUGUGUGAGCCUCUCCUGCACCUUGUCCCAUAGGCCGCCAGUGCCUCAGGAGGCAAGGGCCCCACACCUGAGAGGCGAGCCAGCGUGUUAGGGUAAAAUAACUGGAAAUACCACACCUUGCUCAACAGCGCACAGGGAAGCGGCUGUGCUGGGACCUAGACAUGUCGCUAGGGGACGCAAGGGGGCGAACCAUGUAUAUUUCAAUUCCGACUAUAACCUCAGGGAAAUGAUGACCAGCUCAUCCCGCUCUGAGCCAAUGUCAAGCGCUGCCCUGUGAGCGUAAGUGAAUGAUUUUACUCUGAAGAAAACAAUAUACAAACGGGUGCAGUGUUUUAGUUGUUUUCAACCGGCAGCCAACUCUUCAGAGUCCAAGUUUCCCUGCUUUGUGGAUUACAUAUGUUCAUUAACUUUAAUCCGGCACACACAAGAUGAAGAAGCUGAACUCAGGCCUCCAGUGAAUGGGAUCCUGCCUAUUUAUUUUCAGAGUACAUAUUACUCUGAACUGUGAAGAGACCAAGGAAAGCCACGGAAUGAAACAUACAGCAAACACAACAGAUCCUGCUCCAGACUCCUCACUUACUGCGCACUGGCUUUCUGGUUGCUGACAGCAAUCCACAAAUCCUGGAGGACAAUGCCACAGAGAAUGGGCCAGGUGAAAACUGUGUUCUGCUUGGGACCCAUCACCCGACAACCAGGAAGAUUAAGACCUGCUCCAGCUGGUCUGCUGGCCCUGCGAGGGGAUGGCCACAACGAGAGCACUUCUGGAGCGCGAACACCCAGGAAUGCAAUCCCAGAAGACUUCCACAGCCUGCCAAGACCUCUCACUUGCAAGGUGGACUCAAUAGCUACCUAGUGGCGUCUACGAAAGGCUCUUUUCUGCCCUCUCAUCUGAGCAAUACUUCGUAGAUCUAGUCUUUUCCCUUUCGAUCAUUCAUUUCAUAAAUAUGUAUUUAAUACACGGUGAGCCUCUUUUGUGUGGCAGACUCUGUUAUACUCCAAGUUUAUAGGAGAAUUAAUUUUCUUCUCUCAAUGGACAGC
Molecule: long non-coding RNA, 1407 nt
Organism: Fukomys damarensis (Damara mole-rat)
Lineage: Eukaryota; Metazoa; Chordata; Mammalia; Rodentia; Bathyergidae
Exons: 4
Source: RefSeq, a predicted model, not a curated record